Molecule: ribosomal RNA, 498 nt
Filed under: uncultured bacterium
Lineage: Bacteria
Description: partial 16S ribosomal RNA
Rfam family: Bacterial small subunit ribosomal RNA
Source: RNAcentral
AUUGAACGCUGGCGGCAUGCCUUACACAUGCAAGUCGAACGGUAACAGGUCUUCGGAUGCUGACGAGUGGCGAGCGGGUGAGUAAUACAUCGGAACGUGCCUAGUAGUGGGGGAUAACUACUCGAAAGAGUGGCUAAUACCGCAUGAGAUCUACGGAUGAAAGCAGGGGAUCGCAAGACCUUGUGCUACUAGAGCGGCCGAUGGCAGAUUAGGUAGUUGGUGGGAUAAAAGCUUACCAAGCCGACGAUCUGUAGCUGGUCUGAGAGGACGAUCAGCCACACUGGGACUGAGGAACGGCCCAGACUCCUACGGGAGGCAGCAGUGGGGAAUUUUGGACAAUGGGCGCAAGCCUGAUCCAGCAAUGCCGCGUGCAGGAUGAAGGCCUUCGGGUUGUAAACUGCUUUUGUACGGAACGAAAAGCCCUGGGUUAAUACCCUGGGGUCAUGACGGUACCGUAAGAAUAAGCACCGGCUAACUACGUGCCAGCCGCCGCGGUAA